RNAcentral lists this ribosomal RNA (389 nucleotides) under Prochlorococcus sp. EGEMACC 6. RNAcentral's name for it is "bacterial SSU rRNA". It matches the Rfam family "Bacterial small subunit ribosomal RNA", at positions 355 to 762 of the family's 1533-position model. Lineage: Bacteria; Bacillati; Cyanobacteriota; Cyanophyceae; Synechococcales; Prochlorococcaceae. The record is from RNAcentral.
UGGGGAUUUUUCCGCAAUGGGCGAAAGCCUGACGGAGCAAUGCCGCGUGAAGGAUGACGGCCUAUGGGUUGUAAACUUCUUUUCUCAGAGAAGAAUUUUUGACGGUAUUUGAGGAAUAAGCAUCGGCUAACUCUGUGCCAGCAGCCGCGGUAAGACAGAGGAUGCAAGCGUUAUCCGGAAUGAUUGGGCGUAAAGCGUCUGUAGGUGGCUUAAAAAGUCUCCUGUCAAAGAUCAGGGCUUAACCCUGGGCCGGCAGGAGAAACUCUUAGGCUAGAGUUUGGUAGGGGCAGAGGGAAUUCCCGGUGGAGCGGUGAAAUGCGUAGAGAUCGGGAGGAACACCAAAGGCGAAGGCACUCUGCUGGCCAGAACGACACUAGAACAAGCAGUUC